UGUUUCUACUCAGCUUUCCUUUGGGUAAGGGAGACCCUCUCAGUAUCAGAGUUCAGAGAAGAGAGAGUGAUCAGAAGCUGAACAGCAGCAUCUGUCAGAGAAGAUAAAUGACUUACCAGCAAAUCAUCGUACUUAAAAGGAAGACAAAAACCUGUGGAGUGAAAUUCAAAGACCAUACCAAUGCCCUGGGCCAAAAGGAAGAACGGGAAGAGAUACUGAAACAACAAUGGCCAGGCUGUUCUCAUGCACUGAUUCGAGCUGUGAUCUCCUCAGAACCUAUCUCAUUGGGAGAAUGACACUGACACCGUUCAGCUCAUAUGGAAAGAGGAUAGGGGAGAUCCUGAAUACUCAAUGUGCAAUGUUUGUCCUAAAUCCAGGUACCUUGCCCCGAUCCACUUUGUUAUUCAGUGCAUUAAUGUCCUCUCCAUCAUCCUGUGAUGUUUGCAGACAUAAUCCUGCUCUCAGAAAUAGUUUGUGCUCCUGCAGCAUUUUCUGUUAUGCUCAGGAAAAAAUAAUUAAAAAAUAAAAAGCCUUCCACAGAGGAAAAUUCUCACAAACACUGUCUUCCCCCCCCCCAGCACUGUCUCCUUUCAGAUUUCUGCCACAGCUUGGACUUGCAUCCCUGCUGGGUACAGUGCAGGUUCAGGAGCUACUGCACAUUCCUUUGAACUACACAGCCCAUUUGAGAACUUUGGGGCUAGAAAGUCUUUCAGCCUCCCACUUUGUACGUAUGCAAUGUAAUCCAUUUGGGUCAUGAAUGUUAGACUUUAUGCUCCAACUGAGAGCCAAACCUUUUUUUUUUAAAUGCUGUAUUCAGUUCCACUUCCCCAGUGGGGCAAAGGUGCCAUGCACCAUCUGAAGUGAAUGUCAAGUGAUGGAGGCUAUGUGGGCAUGAUUGGAGCCAUGGCUUGAUCCCCCACGUCUGUGCAAAUAAAACUUGGGUAGA
Cygnus olor (mute swan) is the source of this 946-nucleotide long non-coding RNA. RefSeq lists it as uncharacterized. Lineage: Eukaryota; Metazoa; Chordata; Aves; Anseriformes; Anatidae. The transcript is spliced from 3 exons. The record is from RefSeq and is a predicted model, not a curated record.